CGGAUUGUAGUCUGCAACUCGACUACAUGAAGCUGGAAUCGCUAGUAAUCGCGAAUCAGAAUGUCGCGGUGAAUACGUUCCCGGGUCUUGUACACACCGCCCGUCACACCAUGGGAGUCAGUAACGCCCGAAGUCAGUGACCCAACCAAUCAGGAGGGAGCUGCCGAAGGUGGGACCGAUAACUGGGGUGAAGUCGUAACAAGGUAUC
RNAcentral lists this ribosomal RNA (208 nucleotides) under uncultured bacterium. RNAcentral describes it as "partial 16S ribosomal RNA". It matches the Rfam family "Bacterial small subunit ribosomal RNA", at positions 1294 to 1500 of the family's 1533-position model. The record is from RNAcentral.